Long non-coding RNA from Callorhinus ursinus (northern fur seal), 663 nucleotides. RefSeq lists it as uncharacterized. The record is from RefSeq and is a predicted model, not a curated record. NCBI's taxonomy places the organism in Eukaryota, Metazoa, Chordata, Mammalia, Carnivora, Otariidae.
CCUGUUGUCAGGAAUCGAAACAUGUGUAGCUUAUUCUCAACACAUUCCUGAAAUCAACAGCAACUGCAGAAAGCCUGCCUUUUCUCUGCUCACCAGUUCUCCACAGGGUCACAACCAUUGUCCCAAAAGCUCCAUUGUGGGGGUUUGAAAUCCAUCUGUCAUUCAUGAGGAUGUUUGACACGCUCAGAAACCAGUCUGUCAUCUGCCACCAGCUGGGCCCAGUGGGUCUCGGUGCUGCCUGCCAUCCAGGAAUCUGAGGUGUCCAUUCCCAUUGCCAACCCGGCUCUCUGUUCGGAGAUAAAAACACAGCCCGAAUCAGAAAAAGGAGUCAAUUCAUACCAUCGGGUGGUGGUCACUUCUGGGGUGUGGACAGACAGAGCCUCCUUCUGCCCUCACCCCCACCAGCCUUCUCCCCCACAGGUGCACUCUGUUCAGACAGAGCCACUCUGUGAGCCAAGGACAAUAUGUGCGCCUACGUUGACCCCAUUUCUGGUUGUCACUUGACAACUUGAGCCAACUAUUACUAGAUGACCCAACGGUUAUGACGUUGCCACCCAAAGUACCUACCUUCCUGGAGGCAUGCCCUCAGCCUCCCCACCAGUCCAGGCUCCCAUGUCAUUGUGAUUCAGCCUCCCCACCCCGCCAGUUCAAGUGAAUCAUAUG